CACACCCUCAUUUUAUUUUUAUUAUUAGAAAGCGAGAACCUAACUUUGAGGUUACAAUGUUCACCAAAACUAAUAGGACUAAAAAAAUAUCUGAAUAAAAAAGAAUCAAAACUAACAGAAAAUAAUAAAAACAAAUUCACAAGGGUAAUUUUAUCAUAAAAACCAAUGCAAAAAGAGGAACUAGACAACUUCUUUAAUAGCUUUAAUCUUUAAUAUUAGAAAGCCAGCAAUCAACUUUGGUGUCUCAAGGUUUCACCAAAAAAUUCUAGACUAAAAUAACCCUCAAACAAAAAAAAAACAAAAACCGACACAAUAUAAUACAUUAAAAAACUCAUGGACAUUUUUGUCAGAAUACAAAAAUAUAAAAUUUGUUUUAUUAACAGAAAAAGAAAAAGAAACAGAUAACUCCUCCAUUUUAGGAGAGAGAACAACCAACGUGGGGAGAAAAAUCUUCAGGAUUAGCACGUUUAAUUUUCAAACUGCAUAGCAGUUUCCAUACAAGGAAACCAACCCACCCACGUCUAUCUUCUAUUCCCCCAUUUUCUGAUCAAACUUCUUCCUCACACAAUUCCACGUACAACUCUAUUCAUUCUGUUUUCUAACUGCAGCCUACCACUCCAUAUUCUCUCCUUCUUUCACUACUAUUUCUCUACAGGUUUCAGUUCUCACCCAUUUGCAUGCUAAGCAUGUACACAAAUCGGUAGAAAGAACUGCUUUGAAAUUCUUUCAGUUUUGGCAAGGCUACUUUUUCCAGAUCGAUGAACGUUUAUAUGCGCAUCGGGUAAGCUCCGGAAAAUUACCUCAAUUGGAUCUGCAAAUGGGAGGAAUACCUAACAGCAGCAGGUGAAGUUUUCUUUUUAUGUGCAGUUUUUAAGUUACUUAUGCAUUCUUUAUUUUUAUCUCUUUUGCCCAU
Long non-coding RNA from Pyrus x bretschneideri (Chinese white pear), 913 nucleotides. RefSeq lists it as uncharacterized. NCBI's taxonomy places the organism in Eukaryota, Viridiplantae, Streptophyta, Magnoliopsida, Rosales, Rosaceae. The record is from RefSeq and is a predicted model, not a curated record. The transcript has 3 exons.